GGGGCCCUGCCGGAUGAUCGCGCUUCUCUAACUCUAUGGAAUGGCUAUUUGCCUUCCCAGGGUAGAGUGUGAGGAAAGUCCGGACACCAUGGAAUCGCGGGACCGGGUAAUCCCCGGAAUUCUUCUCUUUCAAAAGAAGGGAAGGGUAUGGAAAGUGCAGCAGAAAAUAAACCGCCUCGAAUUCGUUCGAGGUAAGGGUGAAACGGCGGGGUAAGAGCCCACCGCCAUUCUUGUGAAAGAAUGGGCAAGGUAAACCCUCCCCGGUGCAAUCCCGAAUAGGCGACCGUCAGUUGCGGAUUCCGCAAGGUCGUGGGUAGGGAGCAAAGAGUUCGAUCGGUAACUUUCGAACCAAGAUAAAUGAUCAUCGUCGGAAAGCUUCGAGAGAGGCCUUCCGAUACAGAAUCCGGCUUACAGGCAGGCCCCUUUU
This 427-nucleotide RNase P RNA is filed under the name Leptospira inadai serovar Lyme. RNAcentral describes it as "RNase P RNA component class A". It matches the Rfam family "Bacterial RNase P class A". From Rfam's summary of the family: Ribonuclease P (RNase P) is a ubiquitous endoribonuclease, found in archaea, bacteria and eukarya as well as chloroplasts and mitochondria. Its best characterised activity is the generation of mature 5'-ends of tRNAs by cleaving the 5'-leader elements of precursor-tRNAs. The record is from RNAcentral. Lineage: Bacteria; Pseudomonadati; Spirochaetota; Leptospiria; Leptospirales; Leptospiraceae.